Molecule: unclassified non-coding RNA, 192 nt
Organism: Ursus americanus (American black bear)
Lineage: Eukaryota; Metazoa; Chordata; Mammalia; Carnivora; Ursidae
Gene: 7SK
Rfam family: 7SK RNA
About the family: 7SK was discovered as an abundant small nuclear RNA in the mid-70s but a possible function has only recently been suggested. Two independent studies have found that 7SK RNA binds the CDK9/cyclin T complex (known as elongation factor P-TEFb).
Source: Ensembl
GAGUCUGUACUGCGUGCUCGGUCGAAGAGGACGACCUUCCUCGAUAGAGGAGGACCGUUCUUCAGUCAAGGGUAUACGAGUAGCUGCGCUCCCCUGCCAGAACCUCCAAACAAGCUCUCAAGAAGGAGUCUGUAAGGAAACCCAAAGACAACAGGGGAGACCAAGACAUCAGAGGAAAUUUUAGCCUCUGAU